RNAcentral lists this transfer RNA (75 nucleotides) under Bacteroidales bacterium. RNAcentral's name for it is "tRNA-Val". It matches the Rfam family "tRNA". From Rfam's summary of the family: Transfer RNA (tRNA) molecules are approximately 80 nucleotides in length. Their secondary structure includes four short double-helical elements and three loops (D, anti-codon, and T loops). Further hydrogen bonds mediate the characteristic L-shaped molecular structure. tRNAs have two regions of fundamental functional importance: the anti-codon, which is responsible for specific mRNA codon recognition, and the 3' end, to which the tRNAs corresponding amino acid is attached (by aminoacyl-tRNA synthetases). tRNAs cope with the degeneracy of the genetic code in two manners: having more than one tRNA (with a specific anti-codon) for a particular amino acid; and 'wobble' base-pairing, i.e. permitting non-standard base-pairing at the 3rd anti-codon position. RNAcentral also lists the same sequence under 1 other name. The record is from RNAcentral. Lineage: Bacteria; Pseudomonadati; Bacteroidota; Bacteroidia; Bacteroidales.
GGGAGCAUAGCUCAGUUGGUUUAGAGCAUCUGCCUUACAAGCAGAGGGUCGGGGGUUCGACUCCCUCUACUCCCA